AACGAACGCUGGCGGCAUGCCUAACACAUGCAAGUCGAACGAAGGCUUCGGCCUUAGUGGCGCACGGGUGCGUAACGCGUGGGAAUCUGCCCUUUGGUUCGGAAUAACAGCUGGAAACGGCUGCUAAUACCGGAUGAUGACGAAAGUCCAAAGAUUUAUCGCCAGAGGAUGAGCCCGCGUUGGAUUAGGUAGUUGGUGGGGUAAAGGCCUACCAAGCCGACGAUCCAUAGCUGGUCUGAGAGGAUGAUCAGCCACACUGGGACUGAGGCACGGCCCAGACUCCUACGGGAGGCAGCAGUGGGGAAUAUUGGACAAUGGGCGCAAGCCUGAUCCAGCAAUGCCGCGUGAGUGAUGAAGGCCCUAGGGCUGUAAAGCUCUUUUACCCGGGAAGAUAAUGACUGUACCGGGAGAAUAAGCCCCGGCUAACUCCGUG
This 433-nucleotide ribosomal RNA is filed under the name uncultured bacterium. RNAcentral describes it as "partial 16S ribosomal RNA". It matches the Rfam family "Bacterial small subunit ribosomal RNA", at positions 29 to 507 of the family's 1533-position model. The record is from RNAcentral.